GUUAUGGGGUCAAGCGACUAAGUGCAUGUGGUGGAUGCCUUGGCGAUCACAGGCGAUGAAGGACGUGACAGCCUGCGAAAAGCUCCGGGGAGCUGGCAAAUGAGCAUUGAUCCGGAGAUGUCCGAAUGGGGAAACCCGGCCCGCAAGGGUCACUCCCUGCUGAAUACAUAGGCAGGGCAGAGCGAACCCGGUGAACUGAAACAUCUCAGUAGCCGGAGGAAGAGAAAUCAACCGAGAUUCCGCCAGUAGUGGCGAGCGAACGCGGAACAGCCAGUCAUUUUUAGCCGACGACUCAGUGGAACGCUCUGGAAAGGGCGGCCGCAGUGGGUGAUAGCCCCGUACACGAAGGGAUGUCGGUGGAACUAAGGUGACGACAAGUAGGGCGGGACACGUGAAAUCCUGUCUGAAGACGGGGGGACCAUCCUCCAAGGCUAAAUACUCGUGAUCGACCGAUAGUGAACCAGUACCGUGAGGGAAAGGCGAAAAGAACCCCGGAAGGGGAGUGAAACAGAUCCUGAAACCGCAUGCAUACAAACAGUCGGAGCUCCGUGCUUCAACCGCUUUGCGGUUGACGCACUCCGCAGUUGUCAGUUGACAGUUGUCAGUUGUCAGUAACUUCACGUCGUGCCGAUGCGCUGCGCAUCGACUCGACAUGCCUUUACUGACAACUGACAGCUGACAACUGACAACUGCUUCAACGGCAGAGCCGUUGAAGCACGGAGUGACGGCGUACCUUUUGUAUAAUGGGUCAGCGACUUACGUUCUGUUGCGAGCUUAACCGCAUAGGGAAGGCGCAGCGAAAGCGAGUCCGAACAGGGCGCUUGAGUAGCAGGGCGUAGACCCGAAACCGGAUGAUCUAGCCAUGGCCAGGCUGAAGCGGGGGUAACACCUCGUGGAGGGCCGAACCCACUACCGUUGAAAAGGUAGGGGAUGAGCUGUGGCUAGGGGCGAAAGGCUAAACAAAUCCGGAGAUAGCUGGUUCUCUCCGAAAGCUAUUGAGGUAGCGCCUCGUGUAUCACCUUCGGGGGUAGAGCACUGUCAUGGUAGUGGGGAGCAUCGCGCUCUACCACGCCAUUGCAAACUCCGAAUACCGAAGAGUGCGAGCACGGGAGACAGACGGUGGGUGCUAACGUUCAUCGUCGAGAGGGAAACAACCCAGACCCUCAGCUAAGGUCCCCAAGACACGGUUAAGUGGGAAACGAGGUGGGAAGGCACAGACAGCCAGGAUGUUGGCUUAGAAGCAGCCAUCAUUCAAAGAAAGCGUAAUAGCUCACUGGUCGAGUCGUCCUGCGCGGAAGAUGUAACGGGGCUCAAAUCGUGCACCGAAGCUAGGGGUUCAGGAGUCAGUUGUCAGUUGACAGUUGACAGUAACAGCCAAUGGCGCUGAUGCGCUUCGAGGAGUUGGAGGUAUUCAAGCGUGCGUACCGGGUGUCGCUCGACAUCCACCGUGCGAGCUUGACGUUUCCGUCCUUGGAGCAGUACGCGCUGGCCGAUCAGGUCCGGCGCAGCAGCAAGGGCAUCUGCGCCAACAUCGCCGAAGGGUUCGGCAAAUCCACUCGCUCGAAGGCGGAACUGCAGAGGUUCCUGUCGAUGGCGGUCGGGUCGGCCGACGAGAUGCGGGUGUGGCUACGUUACUGUCUGGACUUGGGGUACAUCUCCGAGUCGAGUUGGCAAGCAUGGCGCGACGAGUACGAAGAGAUCGCGAAGAUGCUGCAGGGGCUGAUUAGAAGCGUGCGACGGGAGUAGGCGCUUCUACUGGCAACUGCCAACUGUCAACUGGCUCCUGGACGGUAGGAGAGCGUUCCGUAGGCCUGUGAAGGCGGCUGGAGACGGCUGCUGGAGGUAUCGGAAGUGCGAAUGCUGACAUGAGUAGCGAUAAAGCAGGUGAAAGGCCUGCUCGCCGUAAGCCCAAGGUUUCCUGCGCCACGUUCAUCGGCGCAGGGUGAGUCGGCCCCUAAGGUGAGGACGAGAGUCGUAGCUGAUGGGAAGCGGGUCAAUAUUCCCGCACCGACGUGGAAUGCGAUGGGGGGACGGAGAAGGUUAACCAGGCCGGGUGUUGGACGUCCCGGUUCAAGCGUGUAGGCGUGCCCGAUCGGCAAAUCCGUCGGGCUUAGUCGAGGCGCGACGUCGAGGGCCGGCUUGCCGGUCCGAAGCGGGUGAUACCAGGCUCCCGGGAAAAGCCUCUAAGCUUCAGUUCCACGACGACCGUACCGCAAACCGACACAGGUGGGCGAGCUGAAUAUGCUCAGGCGCUUGAGAGAACUCAGGAGAAGGAACUCGGCAAAUUGACACCGUAACUUCGGGAUAAGGUGUGCCCUCGGUAGGUGAACCCGUACAGGGGGAGCCGAAGGGGGCCGCAGAGAAUCGGUGGCUGCGACUGUUUAACAAAAACACAGCACUCUGCAAAGACGAGAGUCGACGUAUAGGGUGUGACGCCUGCCCGGUGCCGGAAGGUUAAGUGAUGGGGUGCAAGCUCUUGAUCGAAGCCCCGGUAAACGGCGGCCGUAACUAUAACGGUCCUAAGGUAGCGAAAUUCCUUGUCGGGUAAGUUCCGACCUGCACGAAUGGCGUAACGAUGGCCACACUGUCUCCUCCUGAGACUCAGCGAAGUUGAAGUGUUUGUGAAGAUGCAAUCUCCCCGCGGCAAGACGGAAAGACCCCGUGCACCUUUACUGUAGCUUUGCAUUGGACUGUGAUGAGGUUUGUGUAGGAUAGCUGGGAGGCUUUGAAGUGGGGGCGCCAGCUCUCAUGGAGCCAACGUUGAAAUACCAGCCUGACGUCAUUGCGGUUCUAACCUUGGGCCGUUAUCCGGCUCGGGGACCGUGCAUGGCAGGCAGUUUGACUGGGGCGGUCUCCUCCCAAAGCGUAACGGAGGAGCUCGAAGGUUCGCUUAGCGCGGUCGGACAUCGCGCUUCAAUGUGUAAGGGCACAAGCGAGCUUGACUGCGAGACUGACAAGUCGAGCAGGUGCGAAAGCAGGACCUAGUGAUCCGGUGGUUCUGAAUGGAAGGGCCAUCGCUCAACGGACAAAAGGUACGCCGGGGAUAACAGGCUGAUACCGCCCAAGAGUUCAUAUCGACGGCGGUGUUUGGCACCUCGAUGUCGGCUCAUCACAUCCUGGGGCUGUAGCCGGUCCCAAGGGUAUGGCUGUUCGCCAUUUAAAGUGGUACGUGAGCUGGGUUCAAAACGUCGUGAGACAGUUUGGUCCCUAUCUGCCGUGGGCGCUGGAGAUUUGACGGGAGCUGCUCCUAGUACGAGAGGACCGGAGUGGACGCACCGCUGGUGUACCGGUUGUGACGCCAGUCGCAUCGCCGGGUAGCUAUGUGCGGAAGUGAUAACCGCUGAAAGCAUCUAAGCGGGAAACACGCCUGAAGAUGAGAUCUCCCGGGGGCUAGACCCCCCUGAAGGGUCGUGGCAGACCACCACGUUGAUAGGCCGGAGGUGGAAGCGCGGCAACGCGUUGAGCUGACCGGUACUAAUCGCCCGUGCGGCUUGAUCCCAUAACCUUGCG
RNAcentral lists this ribosomal RNA (3510 nucleotides) under Burkholderiales bacterium. Its description in RNAcentral is "23S ribosomal RNA". It matches the Rfam family "Bacterial large subunit ribosomal RNA". Lineage: Bacteria; Pseudomonadati; Pseudomonadota; Betaproteobacteria; Burkholderiales. The record is from RNAcentral.